This is a long non-coding RNA of Oreochromis niloticus (Nile tilapia), 1126 nucleotides long. RefSeq lists it as uncharacterized. NCBI's taxonomy places the organism in Eukaryota, Metazoa, Chordata, Actinopteri, Cichliformes, Cichlidae. The transcript has 3 exons. The record is from RefSeq and is a predicted model, not a curated record.
AAAAGCUGCCUGUUUGUCUGUUUCUGUGUGGCAGCCCUGAUCCUCUGAUGGAUUUGUGGGUUGUCCAUGUCAUGGUUCUGGAUCUUGAACCCAGGGCAUUCAAUUUGAGGCUUUUUAGAUUCUGUUUUUCUUCUUCUUCUUUUUUUAUAUAGUUGAAGCAUUUAUUUCUGUUGAUUCAGUAGAGAUCCUUGCUCUGUGUUCCUGUUAGGUUUUUAGUUAGUCUCAACUUGGGGUGGCUGUGGCAUAGAAGGGGUUGGUCGUAUUUCAGUCUGUGCACCAAAGUAUCUUUUUGGCAAAAUAGUUAACCCUGAGUUUCUCCCAGUGUGUUCACUGGCGUGUUAAUGCUGGACAGAAAGCACUUAGGCAAAGAAACGAGUGCUUGUGUGAAUGAGGCUUGUAGUAUGAAGUGUUGUGGGUGCUCAAGCAGAGUGUCCCUUUGCCAGUGAUUCAUGACACCCCAGGGUGUUGCCUGCCUCUCGCCUUGUGACGACAGGUCCCCUUCAGGGUCACCACAGCAUAUCAUCUGCCUCCAUCUCACCCUAUCCCAGAAUUCUCUUCAUGUCAUCCAUCAAUCCAUCAUCCCGGCUGGCAGUUCCAUUUUUGACAUCCUGAGUCCAGUAUAUCCACUAUCCCUCCUCCAUUUAAGCUUUGACUCUCUAACGUUCAAACUACUCAACUCUACAACUUAUUUAAAAAAAUCAGGAUAACAGCUUGCAUGGCUAAUGAUGAUCAGCAGUAAAUUAACCUGUUAGUGAUCGUGCCAGCUCGACUACCCCAUGUUUAGUGGACUCUCCCAGGUCAUAGAAGGCUCAUAAGAACUAAGAAUGUCUCAUAUGGGUCACUGUUACUGCAAGACAUGUACUACAGAAAUGUAACGGGACAGUCUUGUCCACUGUGAAUUAAAGGACUAAGAUCAAAUGUUCCUUCUGUGCAGCUUUGUCAUCCCCUCAUCCCUCUCAUCAAUCUCUCCCUAAGCCAAUAUUUUUAGCCUCGUCUAUUUUUCAUACCCCAAUUUUGUACCUUGGAGACCGGCUGAUGUUUCAAUAAACUCAAUAUACUCUGAGAGCUAAAGUGAAACACAAGUGAUAGAAGUCAAUACAACUUCCAUGCGGUUUCCUGGAAUGCA